This 651-nucleotide long non-coding RNA is filed under the name Homo sapiens (human). RNAcentral describes it as "non-protein coding lnc-EEF1AKMT1-1:3". Lineage: Eukaryota; Metazoa; Chordata; Mammalia; Primates; Hominidae. The record is from RNAcentral.
ACAGGACUCGGCCUGCUGUCCUUUUCAUCUUUGCCCUCAGAAGUUCGCUGAUGGAGUUUGCGAAAUGCCCAGGCCUGACUGUCCGCUCCUGGAGGGCGGGCACCCGCGGCGCCUGUCGCUGGGGCUUCUGAGGCAGGUCCCUUGCAGGAUGCGGGUGCUGCGAGGUGGAGUAGACUAGGACGCGGGCGGCUUUACUGCAAGCCCUUCUUCAGUGACGCAGCUGUGGAAAGUACUAAUAAAAAUGGAAUUGGCUGGGCAUAAUGGCUCAUGUUUGUAAUCUUAGCACUUUGGGAGAACAAGGUGGGUAGAUCACUUGAAUCGAGGAGUUCAGGACCAGCCUGGGCAACAUGACGAGACCCCCGUCUCUACAAAAAUUAGCUGGACAUGGUAGUGUGCAUCUGUAGUCCCAGCUACUCAGGAGGCUGAGCUGGGGUAAUUGCUUGAGCUGGGGAAUUUGAGGCUGCAGGGAGCCACAAUCGCACCACUGCACUCCAGCCUGGGCAGCAGAGUGAAACCCUGUCUCAAAAAAAAAAAAAAAUUUAUAUGUCAAGGAUAAAUAUAUAUGCAUAUGUGUGUAUGUAUGUGUCUGCAUAUGUAUAUGGACACACUCAUAUACACACACAAACACACUUUUAUUUUUCUUUCAGUUCU